CAUCGAGACUCCUACGGGAGGCAGCAGUGGGGGAAUAUUGGACAAUGGGGGGAACCCUGAUCCAGCCAUGCCGCGUGUGUGAAGAAGGCCUUAUGGUUGUAAAGCACUUUAAGCGAGGAGGAGGCUCUCUUGGGUUAAUACCCAAGAUGAGUGGACGUUACUCGCAGAAUAAGCACCGGCUAACUCUGUGCCAGCAGCCGCGGUAAUACAGAGGGUGCGAGCGUUAAUCGGAUUUACUGGGCGUAAAGCGUGCGUAGGCGGCUUUUAAGUCGGAUGUGAAAUCCCCCGAGCUUAACUUGGGAAUUGCAUUCGAUACUGGAAGCUAGAGUAUGGGAGAGGAUGGUAGAAUUCCAGGUGUAGCGGUGAAAUGCGUAGAGAUCUGGAGGAAUACCGAUGGCGAAGGCAGCCAUCUGGCCUAAUACUGACGCUGAGGUACGAAAGCAUGGGGAGCAAACAGGAUUAGAUACCCUGGUAG
This 475-nucleotide ribosomal RNA is filed under the name uncultured bacterium. Its description in RNAcentral is "bacterial SSU rRNA". It matches the Rfam family "Bacterial small subunit ribosomal RNA", at positions 328 to 793 of the family's 1533-position model. The record is from RNAcentral.